AGCCUUAAGGUGUUAGUCAUGUCGAAUUGCAAAUUCGAAGGUGUAGAUAAUUAUCUACUAAGGCUU
This 66-nucleotide transfer RNA is filed under the name Apodemus draco (South China field mouse). RNAcentral's name for it is "tRNA-Cys". Lineage: Eukaryota; Metazoa; Chordata; Mammalia; Rodentia; Muridae. The record is from RNAcentral.